This 429-nucleotide ribosomal RNA is filed under the name Chloroflexota bacterium. RNAcentral's name for it is "Chloroflexi bacterium partial 16S ribosomal RNA". It matches the Rfam family "Bacterial small subunit ribosomal RNA", at positions 355 to 776 of the family's 1533-position model. The record is from RNAcentral. RNAcentral also lists the same sequence under 1 other name. Lineage: Bacteria; Bacillati; Chloroflexota.
UGGGGAAUAUUGCACAAUGGGCGCAAGCCUGAUGCAGCCAUGCCGCGUGUAUGAAGAAGGCCUUCGGGUUGUAAAGUACUUUCAGCGGGGAGGAAGGGAGUAAAGUUAAUACCUUUGCUCAUUGACGUUACCCGCAGAAGAAGCACCGGCUAACUCCGUGCCAGCAGCCGCGGUAAUACGGAGGGUGCAAGCGUUAAUCGGAAUUACUGGGCGUAAAGCGCACGCAGGCGGUUUGUUAAGUCAGAUGUGAAAUCCCCGGGCUCAACCUGGGAACUGCAUCUGAUACUGGCAAGCUUGAGUCUCGUAGAGGGGGGUAGAAUUCCAGGUGUAGCGGUGAAAUGCGUAGAGAUCUGGAGGAAUACCGGUGGCGAAGGCGGCCCACUGGACGAAGACUGACGCUCAGGUGCGAAAGCGUGGGGAGCAAACAGG